AUUGAACGCUGGCGGCAGGCCUAACAAAUGCUAGUCGAACGAGUGGCGGACGGGUGAGUAAUCUCUGGGAAACUGCCUGAUGGUGGGGGAUAACUACUGGAAACGGUAGCUAAUACCGCAUACCAUCAGAUGUGCCCAGAUGGGAGUAGCUAGUUGGUGGGGUAACGGCUCACCAAGGCGACGAUCCCUAGCUGGUCUGAGAGGAUGACCAGCAACACUGGAGCAGAGACACGGUCCAGACUCCUCCUGGAGACAGCAGUGGCGAAUAUAGCACAAUGGGCGCAAGUCUGAUGCAGCGAUGCAGCGGGUAUGAAGAAGGCCUUCGGGUAGUAAAGGACUUUCAGCGGGGAGGCGUUACCCGGAGAAGAAGCACGGGCUAACUCCGUGCCAGACGGCGCGGUAAUUC
RNAcentral lists this ribosomal RNA (406 nucleotides) under uncultured bacterium. Its description in RNAcentral is "partial 16S ribosomal RNA". It matches the Rfam family "Bacterial small subunit ribosomal RNA", at positions 30 to 526 of the family's 1533-position model. The record is from RNAcentral.